UUAAUAUUAGUUAUGAAAGAUAUUUCAAGAAAUUUAUAUACUCUAGUUUUUUAAGAGUAAAAGUUUAAUUAAUAAUUUUUAUAAAGAUUAAUAUGGUUUAGCUUAUUAAUUUUAUAUACUGAUAGGAUUUUUUAACCUUAGUAAAUUUGAUAGUGUUUAUUUUAUAAAUUUAUAAUGGAGGGUAAUAUGAAUAAAAAUUUUUAUUUGUUAUUUUUAUAUUAAAAAAUUUAUUUAAAUUUUAGAGAUUUAUUUAUAAUGAAAAAAUUAGUAAAAAAUUAUUUAUAUUAAAAGGUAAUUAAUAAUUUAUAAAUGUUAUAGUUAUUAUAAAAAAUGAAUUCGGCAAAAAGUAUUAUUUGACUGUUUAGCAAAAACAUUGUUUCAUGAAGAAUAUAUGAAAUAAUGUCUGUCCACUGAUAUAUUUGAAGGACUGCAGUAUAUUGACUGUAUAAAAGUAGCAUAAUCAUUAGCUUUUUAAUUUGGGGUUGGUAUGAAGGCGAAACGGAUAAGUUCUUUAUUUUUUAUAAAUGUUUUAAGUUUAUUUUUAAGUGAAAAAUCUUAAUUAGAUGAGAGGGACAAGAAGACCCUAAUAAGUUUUAUUUUUAUUUUAUUUAUGUUAUAGGAAAAUAGAAUUAGAUAAUAUUAUAUUAGAAAUUUGGUUGGGGCGAUUAGUUAUAAAACAUAAUUUAUUUAUAAUUUUU
This 698-nucleotide ribosomal RNA is filed under the name Pseudopolydesmus canadensis. RNAcentral describes it as "partial large subunit ribosomal RNA". The record is from RNAcentral. Lineage: Eukaryota; Metazoa; Arthropoda; Diplopoda; Polydesmida; Polydesmidae.